GAUUUGAUGUCAUGCCUUCAAUAGCUUUUUCAUUGAUUGAUGGUGCUAUUGUCAGGCCAAUAAAAAGUUCUUUAUUGGCUUUUCGUUGGCUGAUUGGAAUCGUUGGAAAAGUUUUUAUCUAUUCAUCGUGCUGUUUACGUCAAUUACAUUU
Zingiber officinale is the source of this 151-nucleotide small nucleolar RNA. RefSeq annotates it as small nucleolar RNA snoR2/U65. NCBI's taxonomy places the organism in Eukaryota, Viridiplantae, Streptophyta, Magnoliopsida, Zingiberales, Zingiberaceae. The record is from RefSeq and is a predicted model, not a curated record. The transcript has a single exon.